GAUCACGCCGUACGAGCGUUUUUACGCCC
RNAcentral lists this small RNA (29 nucleotides) under Bombyx mori (domestic silkworm). RNAcentral's name for it is "piRNA piR-bmo-1395933". The record is from RNAcentral. Lineage: Eukaryota; Metazoa; Arthropoda; Insecta; Lepidoptera; Bombycidae.